GACGAACGCUGGCGGCGUGCUUAACACAUGCAAGUCGAGCGGUAAGGCCCUUUCGGGGGUACACGAGCGGCGAACGGGUGAGUAACGCGUGGGUGACCUGCCCUCAGCUCUGGGAUAAGCCUGGGAAACCGGGUCUAAUACUGGAUAUGACUCCAUGACGCAUGUUGUGGGGUGGAAAGCCUUGUGCGGCUGAGGAUGGGGCCCGCGGCCUAUCAGCUUGUUGGUGGGGUNAGGGCCUACCAAGGCGACGACGGGUAGCCGGCCUGAGAGGGCGACCGGCCACACUGGGACUGAGCACGGCCCAGACUCCUACGGGAGGCAGCAGUGGGGAAUCUUGCGCAAUGGGCAAAGCCUGACGCAGCGACGCCGCGUGAGGNUGACGG
This 383-nucleotide ribosomal RNA is filed under the name uncultured bacterium. RNAcentral's name for it is "bacterial SSU rRNA". It matches the Rfam family "Bacterial small subunit ribosomal RNA", at positions 28 to 414 of the family's 1533-position model. The record is from RNAcentral.